CUCUCUGGAGACGCCCGGUAGAUAGUAAUCCGGGGGCCGAAGGUGCAACAUACUAUAAUGUAUGAAUCUCUCAGGCAACAGGACAGAGAAGA
RNAcentral lists this non-coding RNA (92 nucleotides) under uncultured Agathobacter sp. Its description in RNAcentral is "Glycine riboswitch". It matches the Rfam family "Glycine riboswitch aptamer", at positions 8 to 87 of the family's 94-position model. From Rfam's summary of the family: This family represents the bacterial glycine riboswitch. Glycine riboswitches usually consist of two metabolite-binding aptamers domains with similar structures in tandem. The aptamers cooperatively bind glycine to regulate the expression of downstream genes. The record is from RNAcentral. Lineage: Bacteria; Bacillati; Bacillota; Clostridia; Lachnospirales; Lachnospiraceae.